RNAcentral lists this non-coding RNA (117 nucleotides) under Pongo abelii (Sumatran orangutan). Lineage: Eukaryota; Metazoa; Chordata; Mammalia; Primates; Hominidae. The record is from Rfam by way of RNAcentral.
GCCGGGUGUGGUGGCUCACACCUGUAAUCCCAGCACUUUGGGAGGCUGAGGUAGGUGGAUCACCUGAGGUCAGGAGUUUAAAACGAGCCUGGCCAAGAUGGUGAAACCCCAUCUCUA